Molecule: long non-coding RNA, 222 nt
Filed under: Nicotiana benthamiana
Lineage: Eukaryota; Viridiplantae; Streptophyta; Magnoliopsida; Solanales; Solanaceae
Description: long non-coding RNA (NBEN_LNC011533)
Source: RNAcentral
GAACGCCGCCUUCUUCACUUCCACUUUUCCUUUGACUAUAUCGUUCCACCACCAUUCGCCCUGAUAACUGCCUGAGUAUCUUUUGGCCACCCCGAGCACGUCCCGUGCUACCCCCCUAAUCAAGGUCGCCGUCGCUGUCCACAUAGCAUCCGCUUCCCCAGAACUCCUCCAAGCUCCGCCCUCAACUAACCUCCUUUCCAACUCCUGCGCUUUUUCCUUUGA